GGAUGUGAGGGCGAUCUGGCUGUGACAUCUGUCACCCCAUUGUAAGCCAAGGUUGAUUCAGCUGCUCUGGCUGGCUAGGCUGGUGUCCCCUUCCUCCCUCGCUGCUCCAUGUGCAUCCCUCCCAAAGCUGUGCGCUCUGUCGAAGAGGACGACCAACCCCGAUAAAGGAGGACUGUUUCCUCAGUCAAGGGUAUAUGAGUAGCUGCGCUCCCCUGCUAGAACCUCCAAACAAGCUCUCAAGGUCCAUAUUUUCUUGGAGGAGGACAGUCUAGUCCCUAGCAUACCUUAUCCACUCUAAGAGUGCUCCCUCUUUGCUGCUGGCUCUGAAGA
Fukomys damarensis (Damara mole-rat) is the source of this 330-nucleotide unclassified non-coding RNA. Its record names the gene 7SK. It matches the Rfam family "7SK RNA". From Rfam's summary of the family: 7SK was discovered as an abundant small nuclear RNA in the mid-70s but a possible function has only recently been suggested. Two independent studies have found that 7SK RNA binds the CDK9/cyclin T complex (known as elongation factor P-TEFb). Lineage: Eukaryota; Metazoa; Chordata; Mammalia; Rodentia; Bathyergidae. The record is from Ensembl.